GACGAACGCUGGCGGCGUGCUUAACACAUGCAAGUCGAACGGAAAGGCCCUGCUUUUGUGGGGUGCUCGAGUGGCGAACGGGUGAGUAACACGUGAGUAACCUGCCCUUGACUUUGGGAUAACUUCAGGAAACUGGGGCUAAUACCGGAUAGGAGCUCCUGCUGCAUGGGGGGGGUUGGAAAGUUUCGGCGGUUGGGGCUGGACUCGCGGCUUAUCAGCUUGUUGGUGGGGUAGGGGCUUACCAAGGCUUUGACGGGUAGCCGGCCUGAGAGGGUGACCGGCCACAUUGGGACUGAGAUACGGCCCAGACUCCUACGGGAGGCAGCAGUGGGGAAUAUUGCACAAUGGGCGGAAGCCUGAUGCAGCAACGCCGCGUGCGGGAUGACGGCCUUCGGGUUGUAAACCGCUUUCGCCUGUGACGAAGCGUGAGUGACGGUAAUGGGUAAAGAAGCACCGGCUAACUACGUG
This 468-nucleotide ribosomal RNA is filed under the name uncultured bacterium. RNAcentral's name for it is "partial 16S ribosomal RNA". It matches the Rfam family "Bacterial small subunit ribosomal RNA", at positions 28 to 507 of the family's 1533-position model. The record is from RNAcentral.